Molecule: long non-coding RNA, 860 nt
Filed under: Homo sapiens (human)
Lineage: Eukaryota; Metazoa; Chordata; Mammalia; Primates; Hominidae
Description: long independently transcribed non-coding RNA 595 (LINC00595)
Source: RNAcentral
AAGAGCAAGCUCAGUGUUUCCUUCAAGCAGCAUCGUGGACAGAUUCCUGCCAGACCCUUCAGAGCAAGCACCCCACACCCCUAGCCCAGGGUCUCUUCAUCGAUAGGGGGUGAUCUGUCUGCCCCUCACUGUUUUCUCCAAAUAGAGAUAAGAUCUCACUAUAUUGCCCUGGCUGGUCUCAAACUCCCGUGUUCAAGUCAUCUGCCUGCCUCGACCUCCUAAAGGGCAAGCGGGAUUACAGCCUUCUCCACAGCCCAGCCACAGUGAGGGAGUCAUCAGCACUGGAACCCGGGGUCCACGGCCUUGGAGGAUCCGGACCCUCCGCAUUUGAGGAACUUGGCCUUCAGUCAGGGAGCCAAGAAGUCCCUGCCAAUCAAGGAGGGGGUGUGGGCUGGUGGGGGGGGGGCAGCCUUGGGGCACGGGAGCUGAUAGACCAGACUCAAGAGUUCUACUCCUGACUUCUAGAUUGUUCCACCUCCAUAUGGAAUAUGUUCCUUCCAUCUAACACUGUGUGAUUUGGGGACCAUCCAACUCAAAUGAAAGAAGCCAAGCCAUGCAGCGAGCCACCCCCUCCCCAAUGUGGGGUACCCCCUGCCCCCGCCCAGCUCCCCUGCCCUCCCAGCUGAGGGGGGAUCGCCGCCUGGUGAUCUCAGCCUCCCCUCCAAGUGGGCUGUGAAGUGUCUAAUCCAGGCUUUCAUCUGGCAUCCACAAUUAUAAUGUCAAGAUUGAAUAAUCUGCCUUUAUCUCCCGGGUGACAGCCAUGUAGAAACUUCAAAAGAAACAGUUUUGCUGGCAUCUAACGGCUUUUGUUAAUUACUAUAUCCCAAAGAAAAUGAAAUAAAGGAGGGAGAAAAAUGAUA